CCUGGUUGAUCCUGCCAGUAGUCAUAUGCUUGUCUCAAAGACUAAGCCAUGCAAGUCUAAGUACAUGCUUUUACAAAGUGAAACCGCGAAUGGCUCAUUAAAUCAGUUAUGGUUCCUUAGAUCGUACUAUCCUACUUGGAUAACUGUGGUAAUUCUAGAGCUAAUACAUGCAGCAGAACUCAGACCUUACGGGACGAGUGCUUUUAUUAGACCAAGACCAAUCGGGCUUCGGCUCGACACCCAUGGCGACUCUGGAUAACUUUGGGCUGAUCGCACGAUCUUGUAUCGGCGACGUUUCUUUUUAAGUGUCUGCCUUAUCAACUGUCGAUGGUAGGUUAUGCGCCUACCAUGGUCGUAACGGGUGACGGGGAAUCAGGGUUCGAUUCCGGAGAGGGAGCCUGAGAAACGGCUACCACAUCCAAGGAAGGCAGCAGGCGCGCAAAUUACCCACUCCCGGCAAGGGGAGGUAGUGACGAAAAAUAAAGAUGCGGGACUCUUUUGAGGCCCCGCAAUCGGAAUGAAAUUCCAAGCUCCAAUAGCGUAUAUUAAAGUUGUUGCGGUUAAAAAAGCUCGUAGUUGGAUCUCAGUUCGAGACUGGCGGUCCGCCGUUCGGUGGUUACUGCCAGGACUCAACAUCCUGCCGGUUUUCCCCUGGUGCUCUUCACUGAGUGUCUCGGGUGCCCGGCACGUUUACUUUGAAAAAAUUAGAGUGCUCAAAGCAGGCGUUUAGCCUGAAUAAUGGUGCAUGGAAUAAUGUAAUAGGAUCUCGGUUCUAUUGUGUUGGUUUUCGGAACACGAGGUAAUGAUUAAAAGGGACAGACGGGGGCAUUCGUAUUGCGACGCUAGAGGUGAAAUUCUUGGACCGUCGCAAGACGAACUACUGCGAAAGCAUUUGCCAAGCAUGUUUUCAUCAAUCAAGAACGAAAGUUAGAGGUUCGAAGGCGAUCAGAUACCGCCCUAGUUCUAACCAUAAACGAUGCCAACCAGCAAUCAGCCUGAGUUCCUCAAAUGACUCGGCUGGCGGCUUCCGGGAAACCAAAGUUUAUGGGUUCCGGGGGAAGUAUGGUUGCAAAGCUGAAACUUAAAGGAAUUGACGGAAGGGCACCACCAGGAGUGGAGCCUGCGGCUUAAUUUGACUCAACACGGGAAAACUUACCCGGCCCGGACACCGGAAGGAUUGACAGAUUAAGAGCUCUUUCUUGAUUCGGUGGGUGGUGGUGCAUGGCCGUUCUUAGUUGGUGGAGCGAUUUGUCUGGUUAAUUCCGAUAACGAACGAGACUCUAGCCUACUUAAUAGAGAACCGAUUUCCUCUCGUCGGUUACUCUUCUUAGAGGGACAAGCGGCGUUUAGCCGCCCGAGACAGAGCAAUAACAGGUCUGUGAUGCCCUUAGAUGUCCGGGGCCGCACGCGCGCUACACUGAAGGAAUCAGCUUGUGUUCACCCUGGCCGAAAGGUCUGGGUAACCCGUUGAACCUCCUUCGUGAUAGGGAUAGGGGCUUGUAACUAUUCCCCUUGAACGAGGAAUUCCCAGUAAGCGCGAGUCAUAAGCUCGCGUUGAUUACGUCCCUGCCCUUUGUACACACCGCCCGUCGCUACUACCGAUUGAAUGAUUUAGUGAGGUCUUCGGACUGGUGCUCGGAGCGGCUCUCGGGUCGCCCCGGCGCACCGAAAAGAUGACCAAACUUGAUCAUUUAGAGGAAGUAAAAGUCGUAACAAGGUUUCCGUAGGUGAACCUGCGGAA
RNAcentral lists this ribosomal RNA (1741 nucleotides) under Hendea myersi cavernicola. Its description in RNAcentral is "SSU rRNA". It matches the Rfam family "Eukaryotic small subunit ribosomal RNA". The record is from RNAcentral. Lineage: Eukaryota; Metazoa; Arthropoda; Arachnida; Opiliones; Triaenonychidae.